This 169-nucleotide unclassified non-coding RNA is filed under the name uncultured Sordariales. RNAcentral's name for it is "sequence contains ITS1". Lineage: Eukaryota; Fungi; Ascomycota; Sordariomycetes; Sordariales. The record is from RNAcentral.
AAAGAGUUGAAAGACUCCCUAAACCCACUGCGAACAUACCUAUAUCGUUGCUUCGGCGGGCGGCCCCAGGGCGGGGCCCGGGCCUCUUCGGGGUGAGGUGCCCGCCGACGGCCCUUAUAAACUCUUGUUAUCUACAGGCAUUCUGAGCGACGAAGAUGGAAACGAGUCA